AAGGGCUUAGCUUAAUUAAAGUAGUUGAUUUGCAUUCAGUUGAUGUAAGAUAGAGUCUCGCAGUCCUUA
This 69-nucleotide transfer RNA is filed under the name Phoca largha (spotted seal). RNAcentral describes it as "transfer RNA-Ala". It matches the Rfam family "tRNA". Rfam says of the family: Transfer RNA (tRNA) molecules are approximately 80 nucleotides in length. Lineage: Eukaryota; Metazoa; Chordata; Mammalia; Carnivora; Phocidae. The record is from RNAcentral.